UGGGGAAUAUUGCACAAUGGGCGCAAGCCUGAUGCAGCAACGCCGCGUGAACGAUGAAGGUCUUCGGAUCGUAACGUUCUGUUGCAGGGGAAGAUAAUGACGGUACCCUGUGAGGAAGCCCCGGCUAACUACGUGCCAGCAGCCGCGGUAAUACGUAGGGGGCUAGCGUUAUCCGGAUUUACUGGGCGUAAAGGGUGCGUAGGUGGUCUUUCAAGUCGGUGGUUAAAGGCUACGGCUCAACCGUAGUUAGCCUCCGAAACUGGAAGACUUGAGUGCAGGAGAGGGAAGUGGAAUUCCCAGUGUAGCGGUGAAAUGCGUAGAUAUUGGGAGGAACACCAGUAGCGAAGGCGGCUUUCUGGACUGCAACUGACACUGAGGCACGAAAGCGUGGGUAGCAAACAGG
RNAcentral lists this ribosomal RNA (403 nucleotides) under Verrucomicrobiota bacterium. RNAcentral's name for it is "Verrucomicrobia bacterium partial 16S ribosomal RNA". It matches the Rfam family "Bacterial small subunit ribosomal RNA", at positions 355 to 776 of the family's 1533-position model. The record is from RNAcentral. Lineage: Bacteria; Pseudomonadati; Verrucomicrobiota.